GAUGAACGCUGGCGGCGUGCCUAAUACAUGCAAGUCGAGCGAACAGACGAGGAGCUUGCUCCUCUGACGUUAGCGGCGGACGGGUGAGUAACACGUGGAUAACCUACCUAUAAGACUGGGAUAACUUCGGGAAACCGGCGCUAAUACCGGAUAAUAUAUUGAACCGCAUGGUUCAAUAGUGAAAGACGGUUUUGCUGUCACUUAUAGAUGGAUCCGCGCUGCAUUAGCUAGUUGGUAAGGUAACGGCUUACCAAGGCAACGAUGCGUAGCCGACCUGAGAGGGUGAUCGGCCACACUGGAACUGAGACACGGUCCAGACUCCUACGGGAGGCAGCAGUAGGGAAUCUUCCGCAAUGGGCGAAAGCUUGACGGAGCAACGCCGCGUGAGUGAUGAAGGUCUUCGGAUCGUAAAGCUCUGUUAUUAGGGAAGAACAAAUGUGUAAGUAACUAUGCACGUCUUGACGGUACCUAAUCAGAAAGCCACGGCUAACUACGUG
RNAcentral lists this ribosomal RNA (497 nucleotides) under uncultured bacterium. RNAcentral describes it as "partial 16S ribosomal RNA". It matches the Rfam family "Bacterial small subunit ribosomal RNA", at positions 28 to 507 of the family's 1533-position model. The record is from RNAcentral.